ACUCCUACGGGGAGGCAGCAGUGGGGAAUAUUGCACAAUGGGGGGAAACCCUGAUGCAGCCAUGCCGCGUGUGUGAAGAAGGCCUUCGGGUUGUAAAGCACUUUCAGUAGGGAGGAAGGUAGUGUAGUUAACACCUUGCAUUAUUUGACGUUACCUACAGAAGAAGUCACCGGCUAACUCCGUGCCAGCAGCCGCGGUAAUACGGAGGGUGCGAGCGUUAAUCGGAAUUACUGGGCGUAAAGCGCAUGCAGGCGGCCUGUUAAGUCAGAUGUGAAAGCCCGGGGCUUAACCUCGGAAUUGCAUUUGAAACUGGCAGGCUAGAGUCUUGUAGAGGGGGGGUAGAAUUUCAGGGUGUAGCGGUGAAAUGCGUAGAGAUCUGAAGGAAUACCAGUGGCGAAGGCGGCCCCCUGGACAAAGACUGACGCUCAGA
This 430-nucleotide ribosomal RNA is filed under the name uncultured bacterium. RNAcentral describes it as "bacterial SSU rRNA". It matches the Rfam family "Bacterial small subunit ribosomal RNA", at positions 335 to 751 of the family's 1533-position model. The record is from RNAcentral.